This is an RNA transcript of Brassica rapa (field mustard), 3636 nucleotides long. It is a transcript of the gene named ISWI chromatin-remodeling complex ATPase CHR11, with no coding region annotated. The record is from RefSeq and is a predicted model, not a curated record. Lineage: Eukaryota; Viridiplantae; Streptophyta; Magnoliopsida; Brassicales; Brassicaceae.
GGUCAUAAAUCAACCCUGGGCUCUGCACUUUCACUUUACCCGAAGCAAGUAAACCCUCGAUCUCAAGGUUUUCGAUUCCCAUGGCGAAAUUCUCGAAUCGCGACGAUGCUCUCUCUUCCGAAGAGGAGGAGGAAGAGAAUGUUAAUACCAACAUAGGAGAAGAAGACGAGGAGGAGCUCGAGGCCGUCACUCGAUCUUCCGAUUCCGACGAAGAAGCUGCGCCAGUCUCUGACGAAGAGAUUGCUCCUAUCGAGGAUGAUUACGAGGAUGAAGAGGACGAUGAGAAGGUUGAGAUAAGUAAACGUGAGAAGGCUAGGCUUAGGGAUAUGCAGAAGCUGAAGAAGCAGAAGAUUCAGGAGAUGCUUGAUUCUCAGAAUGCUUCCAUAGAUGCUGAUAUGAAUAAUAAGGGGAAAGGGAGAUUGAAGUAUCUUCUGCAGCAGACUGAGUUGUUUUCACAUUUUGCUAAAGGUGAUCCAUCUUCUUCUCAGAAGAAGGCGAAAGGAAGGGGUCGUCAUGCUUCCAAAGUAACUGAAGAGGAGGAAGAUGAGGAAUAUUUGAAGGAAGAAGAGGAUGGCUUAGCUGCAUCUGGUAACACGAGGUUGCUCACACAGCCUUCUUGUAUUCAAGGGAAGUUAAGAGAUUACCAGUUAGCUGGUUUGAACUGGCUCAUCCGUCUGUAUGAGAAUGGCAUAAAUGGAAUUCUUGCUGAUGAGAUGGGUCUGGGGAAGACACUUCAAACAAUUUCUUUGCUGGCCUACCUUCAUGAAUACAGAGGAAUCAAUGGUCCACAUAUGGUAGUUGCUCCAAAGUCAACCCUUGGUAAUUGGAUGAACGAAAUUCGCCGGUUUUGUCCUGUGUUGCGAGCUGUGAAAUUCCUUGGUAAUCCUGAGGAAAGGAGACAUAUUCGUGAUGACCUGCUAGUUGCUGGGAAAUUUGAUAUUUGCGUCACAAGCUUUGAGAUGGCCAUCAAAGAGAAGACAGCACUGCGUCGCUUUAGCUGGCGUUAUAUUAUCAUCGAUGAAGCGCAUCGAAUCAAGAACGAAAAUUCACUCCUCUCGAAGACUAUGAGAAUUUUUAGCACCAAUUAUCGUCUUCUUAUCACGGGAACCCCCCUUCAGAAUAAUCUCCAUGAACUGUGGGCCCUUCUCAAUUUUCUUCUGCCUGAGAUCUUUAGUUCAGCAGAGACUUUUGAUGAAUGGUUUCAAAUAUCUGGCGAGAAUGACCAGCAGGAAGUUGUUCAACAACUUCACAAGGUCCUUCGACCAUUUCUUCUACGGAGACUAAAGUCAGAUGUUGAGAAAGGUUUGCCACCAAAGAAGGAGACGAUACUUAAAGUUGGCAUGUCUCAGAUGCAAAAACAAUACUACAAGGCUUUACUGCAGAAAGAUCUUGAAGCAGUUAAUGCUGGUGGAGAACGCAAACGUCUGCUAAACAUUGCAAUGCAACUGCGUAAAUGCUGUAAUCACCCUUAUCUCUUCCAGGGUGCAGAGCCUGGUCCCCCAUAUACCACAGGAGAUCACCUCAUAACAAAUGCUGGUAAGAUGGUUCUCUUGGAUAAAUUGCUUCCUAAGUUGAAGGAACGUGAUUCGAGGGUUCUAAUAUUUUCUCAGAUGACAAGGCUUUUGGAUAUUCUUGAGGAUUAUUUAAUGUAUCGUGGUUAUCUAUAUUGCCGAAUUGAUGGAAAUACUGGUGGUGAUGAACGAGACGCCUCCAUAGAAGCCUACAACAAGCCAGGAAGCGAGAAAUUUGUUUUCUUGUUAUCUACUAGAGCAGGAGGGCUUGGUAUCAAUCUUGCUACUGCAGAUGUUGUGAUUCUUUACGAUAGUGACUGGAACCCGCAAGUCGACUUGCAAGCGCAGGAUCGUGCCCAUAGGAUUGGUCAAAAGAAAGAAGUUCAAGUGUUUCGAUUCUGCACUGAGUCUGCUAUUGAGGAGAAAGUAAUUGAGAGAGCUUACAAGAAGUUGGCGCUUGAUGCUCUGGUUAUUCAACAAGGAAGACUGGCAGAGCAGAAAACUGUCAAUAAGGAUGAGUUGCUUCAAAUGGUAAGAUAUGGUGCUGAGAUGGUGUUCAGCUCUAAAGAUAGCACAAUCACAGACGAGGAUAUCGAUAGAAUCAUUGCGAAAGGAGAGGAGGCUACAGCUGAACUUGAUGCCAAGAUGAAGAAAUUUACAGAAGAUGCUAUACAGUUUAAAAUGGAUGACAGUGCUGACUUCUAUGAUUUUGAUGAUGACAAUAAGGACGAGAACAAGCUUGAUUUUAAAAAGAUUGUGAGCGACAACUGGAAUGAUCCACCAAAGCGGGAGAGAAAGCGCAACUACUCUGAAUCUGAAUACUUUAAGCAAACAUUGCGGCAAGGUGCUCCAGCUAAACCUAAAGAGCCGAGAAUUCCGCGCAUGCCCCAGUUGCACGAUUUUCAGUUCUUUAACACUCAGAGAUUGACCGAGUUGUAUGAAAAGGAAGUACGCUAUCUCAUGCAAACACAUCAGAAAAAUCAGCUGAAAGACACAGUUGAUGUAGAAGAACCAGAAGGUGGAGAUCCCUUAACCGCUGAAGAAGUAGAAGAAAAGGAGAGUUUAUUGGAGGAGGGUUUCUCAACAUGGAGCAGAAGAGACUUCAAUAGUUUCCUCAGGGCUUGUGAGAAGUAUGGCCGCAACGACAUCAAAAGCAUUGCCUCCGAGAUGGAAGGUAAAACAGAGGAAGAAGUUGAAAGAUACGCCCAAGUAUUCAAGGAGCGGUACAAGGAGCUGAACGACUACGACAGGAUCCUUAAGAACAUUGAGAGGGGAGAGGCAAGAAUCUCCAGGAAAGAUGAAAUCAUGAAAGCCAUAGGGAAGAAACUGGACCGCUACAGAAACCCUUGGCUGGAACUCAAGAUUCAAUACGGUCAGAACAAAGGGAAGCUGUACAAUGAAGAGUGCGAUCGUUUCAUGAUCUGCAUGGUCAACAAACUUGGGUAUGGGAACUGGGACGAGCUAAAGGCAGCAUUCAGAACUUCACCUCUGUUCAGGUUUGACUGGUUUGUGAAAUCUCGCACGAGUCAGGAGCUCGCUAGAAGAUGCGACACUCUGAUUCGACUGAUUGAAAAGGAGAACCAAGAAUUUGAUGAGAGAGAGAGGCAAGCCCGUAAAGAGAAGAAGCUCGCAAAGAGUGCAACACCAUCAAAGCGACCUUUAGGAAGGCAACAAAGUGAGAGUCCUUCAUCGUUGAAGAAGCGGAAGCAUCUGAGAUGAUUAUCUGAGCUUAGUUAAGCUUUUUGUUGUUGUAUAAAAAUCUAAGUUUAUCUUAUACAUUGUAAGUGAAUUUAAAUCAUUUCAUCAAAAUCCAAGUUAAACCAAGACAACAUUCACCAAACCAGAUUUAAAUUCACUUACAAUGUAUAAGAUAAACUUACAAGGACAUUAUAUGCUUCAGGAAUCGAAUGUCACGUGAAUAAGGCCAUUUAUUAGCAGUAACCGUUGUUUACAAGGACAGAAAAAAAAACAAGAGAUAUGGCCGUAUGAGAGAGAGGAAUCUAUUAAUAUAUGGACAAAUGGUAAAUGACAGAAGCUUUGGUUUGGUGUCUCUGCUUCCAUCAAAUCUCAGACCCCAAAAAAUAAUCUUCUUUUCUCUUUUCUUAAUGUUGUUUUAGUUCAUGAA